This 75-nucleotide transfer RNA is filed under the name Chloroflexota bacterium. RNAcentral describes it as "tRNA-Thr". It matches the Rfam family "tRNA". Rfam says of the family: Transfer RNA (tRNA) molecules are approximately 80 nucleotides in length. Their secondary structure includes four short double-helical elements and three loops (D, anti-codon, and T loops). RNAcentral also lists the same sequence under 1 other name. Lineage: Bacteria; Bacillati; Chloroflexota. The record is from RNAcentral.
GCCACCGUAGCUCAGGGGUAGAGCAACGGUUUCGUAAACCGUAGGUCAUGAGUUCAAUUCUCAUCGGUGGCUCCA